Molecule: long non-coding RNA, 541 nt
Organism: Pteropus alecto (black flying fox)
Lineage: Eukaryota; Metazoa; Chordata; Mammalia; Chiroptera; Pteropodidae
Exons: 3
Source: RefSeq, a predicted model, not a curated record
UAAGGCAGCGUUCCGGGGGGGAAGGAGGUAGCCGACGUCAAGGGAUUUCCAUCUCUCGCUCGAUGCCCACGUACUUCAGGGCAUCAGCCUGGCUGUAUCUGGAAGGGCAGGAAAGAGGAGUGACCGCGAGCCCCCAAGCAUACGGCAGAGGUGGCAGCCACAUGCAUGUUGUUAGAAGGUGCAGGGGUCACACACGGCUCUUAUGAGCAGGAUUAAAAAAAAAGAGCAGUCACUCUGAAUACCUUUGCUUCUAAGCACACUGCCAUUUGCAUCGCAACCCUCCAGUGACGUGGACCAGCCCACGUGCUUUGCCUACCACCCUCAUCUGCACAAGCAGCUCCUUUAGUCCCACAGUCCUGUGAGAACACCCAGGGACAUUUUGGAGAUGCUUCAAGUGCUCCAUGCCUUCCCAGGUGACAGGGACUAACUAGAGGAAGUAAGUCAAAGUGACACGAUACCCAAGUCCUCAGGGACGCAACAGGAGAGCACCAGUGGAGGGGCUCCCCAAUGCCACCUUGGAACUAAAUGCCCUUGAACUCAA